GGAUGACAUCAGCUUUUCUGUCAAUGCAGAAGCAUCUCACCCACUUCCACGUAGCAAAUCAGUGGUCAGCACUUUACACCACUUAAUAUCUUUGAAUCCAAACCCCAGCUCCUGAAGGGAAAAAGGAAAAUAUGUGCGAAAGUCUGAGAUGCAUAUUCCCACAUAGCUGUCCAGAACACAGCAGGUAACCGUUUGAAUGAAGGUUCCCAGCCCGAGCUGUCGACUGGUUGCUGAGUUCCUCCAACAUUCUCUGUGUGUUUGCUUCUGUUUGUUUAUUGAUUAAAAUAAU
This is a long non-coding RNA of Hypanus sabinus (Atlantic stingray), 289 nucleotides long. RefSeq lists it as uncharacterized. NCBI's taxonomy places the organism in Eukaryota, Metazoa, Chordata, Chondrichthyes, Myliobatiformes, Dasyatidae. The transcript has 3 exons. The record is from RefSeq and is a predicted model, not a curated record.